ANAAGGAUCGGCUAACUCCGUACCAGCAGCCGCGGUAAUACGGAGGAUUCGAGCGUUAUCCGGAUUUAUUGGGUUUAAAGGGAGCGUAGGCGGGUUGUUAAGUCAGUUGUGAAAGUUUGCGGCUCAACCGUAAAAUUGCAGUUGAUACUGGCGACCUUGAGUGCAACAGAGGUAGGCGGAAUUCGUGGUGUAGCGGUGAAAUGCUUAGAUAUCACGAAGAACUCCGAUUGCGAAGGCAGCUUACUGGAUUGUAACUGACGCUGAUGCUCGAAAGUGUGGGUAUCAAACAGGAUUAGAUACCCUGGUAGUCCACACAGUAAACGAUGAAUACUCGCUGUUGGCGAUAUACAGUCAGCGGCCAAGCGAAAGCAUUAAGUAUUCCACCUGGGGAGUACGCCGGCAACGGUGAAACUCAAAGGAAUUGACGGGGGCCCGCACAAGCGGAGGAACAUGUGGUUUAAUUCGAUGAUACGCGAGGAACCUUACCCGGGCUUAAAUUGCAACUGACGGAACCGGAAACGGUUCUUUCUUCGGACAGUUGUGAAGGUGCUGCAUGGUUGUCGUCAGCUCGUGCCGUGAGGUGUCGGCUUAAGUGCCAUGACGAGCGCAACCCUUACGGGUAGUUACCAUCAGGUUAUGCUGGGGACUCUACCCGGACUACCGUCGUAAGAUGUGAGGAAGGUGGGGAUGACGUCAAAUCAGCACGGCCCUUACGUCCGGGGCUACACACGUGUUACAAUGGGGGGUACAGAAGGCAGCUACACGGCGACGUGGUGCUAAUCCCAAAAGCCUCUCUCAGUUCGGAUUGGAGUCUGCAACCCGACUCCAUGAAGCUGGAUUCGCUAGUAAUCGCGCAUCAGCCACGGCGCGGUGAAUACGUUCCCGGGCCUUGUACACACCGCCCGUCAAGCCAUGAAAGCCGGGGGUACCUGAAGUACGUAACCGCGAGGAGCGUCCUAGGGUAAA
RNAcentral lists this ribosomal RNA (966 nucleotides) under uncultured organism. RNAcentral describes it as "SSU rRNA". It matches the Rfam family "Bacterial small subunit ribosomal RNA", at positions 486 to 1466 of the family's 1533-position model. The record is from RNAcentral.